UUUUUGCGUGAGGGAUGGAAGCGACAUCCUUUUUGGGAGUUUCGGCGGCAAUGCUGCUGUAACUCCCAAAAAGAUACAGCGGACAGCCCGACCUGAA
This 97-nucleotide small RNA is filed under the name Chryseobacterium indoltheticum. RNAcentral describes it as "Flavo-1 RNA". It matches the Rfam family "Flavo-1 RNA". Lineage: Bacteria; Pseudomonadati; Bacteroidota; Flavobacteriia; Flavobacteriales; Weeksellaceae. The record is from RNAcentral.